CGGCCACACCAAACAUCAGUUCCCAUAUGAUAACCGAAUUUAAGCAACAUUGAGCAUGGUCAGUACCUAAAUGGGCGACCGCUUGGGAAUACCAAGUGCUGUAAG
RNAcentral lists this ribosomal RNA (105 nucleotides) under Acanthosepion pharaonis. Lineage: Eukaryota; Metazoa; Mollusca; Cephalopoda; Sepiida; Sepiidae. The record is from RNAcentral.